UCAGUGAAGUUCCAUACUUCCUGAAUACCUCUGAUCAUGUUAUAGAAGAAAGUUUUUUGCCAUGGGGCGACAGUGGUGAGGACGUUUUAAUUCCCCAAAUGGGAAGUUCUUUUGCGGGGGAAGCCAGACACCAUGCUACGAGGAUGCUCAAGCAGCCCUGUGGAGAGAUACAGUUGCUGGGGAACUGACACCUCCCACAAACUUGCCAGCCAUGUGAAUGAGCCAUCUUGGAAGUGGAUCCUCCAGCUCCAGUCAAGCCUUAAGAUUAACUGAACUGUACUCCCAGCCAACAUCUUCACUACAACCUCAUUAGAGACACUGAGCUGGAACCACAUGACAAUACUAUUGACCUCAUAAGUUAAUAAAGAGCUGCUCUUGAAUUUCUGACCCACAGGAACUGUGUGAGAUAAUAAAUGUUUAUUAUUGUUUUAA
Long non-coding RNA from Balaenoptera musculus (blue whale), 432 nucleotides. RefSeq lists it as uncharacterized. Lineage: Eukaryota; Metazoa; Chordata; Mammalia; Artiodactyla; Balaenopteridae. The transcript is spliced from 2 exons. The record is from RefSeq and is a predicted model, not a curated record.